UACGGAGGGUGCAAGCGUUACUCGGAAUCACUGGGCGUAAAGCGCGCGCAGGCGGCUAGAUAAGUUGGAAGUGAAAUCCUAUGGCUCAACCAUAGAACUGCUUCCAAAACUGUUUAGCUAGAGUCUGGGAGGGGAAGAUGGAAUUAGUAGUGUAGGGGUAAAAUCCGUAGAGAUUACUAGGAAUACCAAAAGCGAAGGCGAUCUUCUGGAACAGUACUGACGCUGAGGCGCGAAAGCGUGGGGAGCAAACAGGAUUAGAUACCCUGGUAGUCCACGCCCUAAACGAUGAAUGUUAGUCGUCGGGACUCUAGUAGUUUCGGUGAUGCAGUUAACACAUUAAACAUUCCGCCUGGGGAGUACGGUCGCAAGAUUAAAACUCAAAGGAAUAGACGGGGACCCGCACAAGUGGUGGAGCAUGUGGUUUAAUUCGAAGAUACGCGAAGAACCUUACCUAGCCUUGACAUAUUUUAGAACUCCGCAGAGAUGUAGAGGUGCCUUCGGGAGCUAAUAUACAGGUGCUGCACGGCUGUCGUCAGCUCGUGUCGUGAGAUGUUGGGUUAAGUCCCGCAACGAGCGCAACCCUCGUUCUUAGUUACUAACGGUUCGGCCGAGGACUCUAAGAAGACUGCCUUCGUAAGGAGGAGGAAGGUGAGGACGACGUCAAGUCAUCAUGGCCCUUACGGCUAGGGCAACACACGUGCUACAAUGGUUAGGACAAUGAGACGCAAUACCGCGAGGUGGAGCAAAUCUAUAAACCUAAUCUCAGUUCGGAUUGUAGUCUGCAACUCGACUACAUGAAGCUGGAAUCACUAGUAAUCGUAGAUCAGCUAUGCUA
Molecule: ribosomal RNA, 835 nt
Filed under: uncultured Sulfurovum sp.
Lineage: Bacteria; Pseudomonadati; Campylobacterota; Epsilonproteobacteria; Campylobacterales; Sulfurovaceae
Description: bacterial SSU rRNA
Rfam family: Bacterial small subunit ribosomal RNA
Source: RNAcentral